This 399-nucleotide ribosomal RNA is filed under the name uncultured bacterium. RNAcentral's name for it is "bacterial SSU rRNA". It matches the Rfam family "Bacterial small subunit ribosomal RNA", at positions 358 to 774 of the family's 1533-position model. The record is from RNAcentral.
GGAAUAUUGGACAAUGGGCGCAAGCCUGAUCCAGCCAUGCCGCGUGAGUGAUGAAGGCCUUAGGGUUGUAAAGCUCUUUCGCCGACGAAGAUAAUGACGGUAGUCGGAGAAGAAGCCCCGGCUAACUUCGUGCCAGCAGCCGCGGUAAUACGAAGGGGGCUAGCGUUGUUCGGAAUCACUGGGCGUAAAGCGCACGUAGGCGGAUUGUUAAGUCAGGGGUGAAAGCCUGGAGCUCAACUCCAGAACUGCCUUUGAUACUGGCAAUCUCGAGUCCGGAAGAGGUAAGUGGAACUGCGAGUGUAGAGGUGAAAUUCGUAGAUAUUCGCAAGAACACCAGUGGCGAAGGCGGCUUACUGGUCCGGUACUGACGCUGAGGUGCGAAAGCGUGGGGAGCAAACA